CUGAUCACUGUUAAUCUGAGAGCUUUUUCAUUACCGACUUUAAACUUUGAUAUGGAAUGAGUAUGAAAACUUACUGUUAAAAAUACUGGGAUAUCUCAAAGAGGAUUAGUCCCUACUGAUGGGAUGUCAAUUAUUCUCAAUAACUUUAAGUGAGACAAUCGCUGUAAAUAUAACAAUCAUGGAUCAUUUUCGCGGUGUUUGUAUAUGUUAAUUUAAAAUAAACGUGUUCAUAAUAUUUGACCAUUCUUCCGAACCUGGAAUGUGAAAAACCAGCUCUGCAGCAUGGCUUGCCGUCUUAUUUCAUUAAAUUUUAAACCAGCUACUCCAUUAGUUUUCCCUCACUCUACUAGCUAUAACAAGCAUACUGCUCUAACACAGACUACUUUGAAAAGUACAGAGUUAAAAUACUACAAAGAAUAUUUAGUGCUCGCCAUCUUAAUUGUUAACUUCAAGUUCAACAGUAUAUCUAUGUCAUUUAAUACUCGCUCGGCUCUAACUAUAUCUUUGCUAUUGUAUGCCGAAGAUUUUGAAACUUUGAAACUAUACUGUUUUGUUGGGAUCGUAGUAUUCCUUGUUGUUAUUGAUGUCGUUAAAAUUGUCGACUUAAAGGGUUGAUGUACUUGUGAAGAUAUUGGUUGAUUAUGAACCGUCAAUAAGCACAAGAAUUUGAUGAGCAUAAUCCCUCACACAUCAUAUUUGAUUGUAAUAUUAUUUCAUGGUUCUAACCAGUGCACAGUUUCGUAGCUAUUUUAUUAACAUUUUUUAGUCCAAUUACUACAAUGGUCUAAACAUCUUUGAUCGCAUGAAUGCGAUCAAUCUCUAAGCUUGCAAUCGUUUAUUACCAAUAUUAAUAGUUAUCGAGUACGUCAUGCUGCAAUGAUCACGAUUUGCACAUUACAAUUAUAGACUAAUUCUAAAAUGAUGAUGCUUCAUUCUUGUGCGUCUUCUUUGUUUUGAAACAUAAUCCAGGGAUUAAUUAUAACAUCCAAUUCCAACUAAGAUCAAACGGAGAAUCGUUCAAAAUUUGAGGCAUUUUGAAGGCUAAGCUAAGCUAAGAUUCAAGAAGUAUUGUGUGCACUAUUGUUUGAGUCAUCUCACAAAUUACCGGUCAACAUUUUACCGACCAACAUUUUUACUAAUACCGACCAACAUUUUUACUAAUACUCUUGCAAUGCCAUGCUUUGCGUGUGAUAAACUAUCGCUCAAACGUUAACCAUGGCUAACAAAGUACGAACUUAGUUAUAUUAGUAACGAUUCGCGGACACCGCCGGCCGGUAUAGUGGUUCUUUAUAAGUUUAUAACCGGGCCGCCGAUAUCAAGCACUGCAAGGCGCAAGCAUUGGUUGUUGCUUUUAAUUUUAGUAGCGACGGUGUUUUUACUUUAUAAUGCUUAAUAUUUUUAUUCGUCAAAAUUUGUAAUACACUUACAGCUUAACUGGCUUCAAAUGCAACCUCAGCCAACAUUAAAAUUGCUGUUGGUCGAUGUUUCAUUUAAUUGAGCACCCAAAUUUAGAUAUGAAGACCUGUGAUAUAUCCUGAAUAUAUAGUUUGCUCUUCUGAAUUGCCCAUUUAGGUUGCUCAAGUAGUUUAAUCAAUACUGUUCAGUGUUUAUCUGUUCUAGUGGUACUGCUAGUACUAACUACUACUAGUACUAACAUUAUUGAUUUAGCCAGCCUUUUCUUUGUAUGUAACUGGUAAGCAGACAUACAGUUACACUUUACAAAAGCUUUGCCAGUGAUACUGAGAGUGACAAAGUAAGAAAGAGCGCAACAUAAAGUACCAACAGAUAGUUCUCAUGUCACAAAACCGCGUGGGGCUAACCUUUGAGGCACUGAUUCAUGAGAACAAGAAGCGACCAAACAAUCGCCUUCAGAACAUGUUAAACCAAAAGUUGCAGAACUUGGACUCAAUGAAAAAUGAAAUGGAACGACUGCAUCGCAAAGAAAAAUCUGACCUGCAGUUAAGGCAAAAGAUUUAUAGCAGGAUUCUGGGUUCGCUAUCUCGAGAUUUGAGCAGCAGAGCAGUGACCAAGCUGAAUAGCCGACAAGAUCAAUAUCCGGAGUAUAAAUACCAACUCUCUGAUGAAGUUGUUUUGGCACCCCUAAGUGUUCGUCUGCAGAUUCCAACCACGUUACCCAGUCUUUGACCAUCAGAUGGACGAAGAAUGUACAUGGCAAGAAGCUGAAAAAGAUGAGAUCGGUACUGAAACCGAAAAAGGCAGCACUCUAACAGAGCUCACAGUUGCAGUAGAGCUUCAGCCCUCGCAAGCAAAGGUCAAAAUGCCGCAAGCUGCAAAGGUUAAAUUGCCCAGUAUUGAUGAAUCAUGAGCAAGCUGGGUGUUUAAGUUCAUCGUAUAUCGGUACCUCUCACACUAUUUGAGUCUCACAUCUGAUGGUAGGAGCAAUGAGUUGCCGAAUCAUACAUCAUAACAAGCUGAACAAUUUCAGACAACUUUUCUGACAGAAAA
This is an RNA transcript of Bolinopsis microptera, 2466 nucleotides long. RefSeq lists it as uncharacterized. The transcript has 4 exons. The record is from RefSeq and is a predicted model, not a curated record. NCBI's taxonomy places the organism in Eukaryota, Metazoa, Ctenophora, Tentaculata, Lobata, Bolinopsidae.